This 74-nucleotide small nuclear RNA is filed under the name Chlorocebus sabaeus (green monkey). Lineage: Eukaryota; Metazoa; Chordata; Mammalia; Primates; Cercopithecidae. The record is from RNAcentral.
CACUGAUACCGAGAAACUUAGCAUGGCCCCUGCAAAAGGAUGACAUACAAACUCAUGAAACGUUCCAUAUUUUU